UAGUCGGGAGGGACCAAUACGGGGCGUCGAAUAGGCGACCCUGGGUGACGGUACCUCCAAAGGAAGCACCGGCUAACUCCGUGCCAGCAGCCGCGGUAAUACGGAGGGUGCGAGCGUUGUCCGGAAUCACUGGGCGUAAAGGGCGCGUAGGUGGCUCGAUAAGUUGCUGGUGAAAUCCCGGGGCUCAACUCCGGGGCUGCCGGUAAGACUGUCGAGCUCGAGCACGGUAGAGGCAGAUGGAAUUCCCGGUGUAGCGGUGGAAUGCGUAGAUAUCGGGAAGAAUACCAGUGGCGAAGGCGUUCUGCUGGGCCGUUGCUGACACUGAGGCGCGACAGCGUGGGGAGCAAACAGGAUUAGAUACCCUGGUAGUCCACGCCGUAAACGAUGGACACUAGGCGUCGGGGGGAGCGACCCCUUCGGUGCCGUCGCUAACGCAGUAAGUGUCCCGCCUGGGGAGUACGGCCGCAAGGCUGAAACUCAAAGGAAUUGACG
Molecule: ribosomal RNA, 492 nt
Filed under: uncultured bacterium
Lineage: Bacteria
Description: SSU rRNA
Rfam family: Bacterial small subunit ribosomal RNA
Source: RNAcentral